UUAAUAAUUUCGUGUGUUUAUCCAACUACUUCGUUCGCGAUAGUAAAAAAAUAUAUUAUUUCAGCUUGAAUUUGGAUUCUGAUGAUAUCUUACUCGCUUCACCUUGACUAUUCUAUACUGGAUUCUCUUGCUGGAUUCGAUAUACUUGGAACAUUUGCCUUGGUUUUAUUUUAUUGAAAUCAGUGUUACUUACGAGUGGUAUUAGUUGUGCGUCGUAUUUAUACACUCAUAAAUAUCAUGAGAAAUAAGCGCAAACCCUAUGCAGGUGUGAGACUUCUUAAAAGAUGGAGAAAAAUCAGCAGAUCCCAAGUUGUGCCAGUCAGCCUGAUCAACAUUCUUUAAAUCGGGAUGCACCAUGUGGAGGUAUCCUGACGUUGCAUCCCUUCUUCUACCUGCCCCUGGGUCAUUCCAAUAGGGAGUCAGCACAACACUGAUGUUCAUACACGACGUAGAUAGGACUUGGCUUUGUUUCUAUGUUGACUGCCUGUCAGACGACUACUGCCUAUAAUGAGUUUAUUUGUGAAAUAUUAUACCAACAAAUAUAACUUACUAGAUUUAUACAUUGAUUUAUUACCCUAUUUACCAAUUUACUCUUGUGACUAAAAUUAUUAGAAUUAAAAAUCUUGCUAAAAUUUGCCUUUUUUUUCUUCAAUCUAAAUUACCUUAUCAAUGGCAUGUGUAUCACUUUCCUAGGGGGCAGUGUAGUGUCCUAGACUAACUCUUGGAUCUGUCCUCUGUGCCUAAGGGCACGGCCAGAUAUUGAUUUUGAAGCCAAUUGGCCUCAAAACAAAGAAAUUCAAUAUGGCGGAUACCCUUCUAAAUUCUAAUAUGGAUCUGUCCUUUGUACCUAAGGGCACGGCCAGAUAUUAGUUUUUUAAGCCAAUGACCUCAAAACAAAUAAAUUGAAGACGUUGGCUACUAUUCUUAAUUCUGAUAUUGGAUCUGUCUUUUGUAUGUAAAGGAACGGCCACAUAUUAAUUUUAAAGCUAAUUAGCCUUAAAACAAAUGAAUUCAAAAUGGCGGCUACUUUUCUAAAUUCUAACAUGGAUCUGCCCUUUGUACCUAAGGGCACGGCCAGGUAUUGAUUUUGAAGCUAAUUAGCCUUAAAACAAAUGAAUUCAAAAUGGCGGCUACUUUUCUAAAUUCUAACAUGAAUCUGCCCUUUGUACCUAAGGGCACGGCCAGGUAUUGAUUUUGAAGCUAAUUGGCCUUAUAACAAAUAAAUUCAAAAUGGCGGCUACUUUUCUAAAUUCUAACAUGAAUCUGCCCUUUGUACCUAAGGGCACGGCCAGGUAUUGAUUUUGAAGCUAAUUGGCCUUAUAACAAAUAAAUUUAAGAUGGAGGCUACUUUUCUCAAUUAUAACAUGGAUCUGCCCUUUGUACCUCAGGGCACGGCCAAGUAUUGAUUUUCAAGCCAAUUGGCUUCAAAACAAAUAAAUUCAAGAUGGCGGUUACUUUUCUCAAUUCUAUCAUGGAUCUGUCCUUUGUACCUAAGAGCAAAGCCAGAUAUUGAGUUUUAAGCCAAUUGGCCUCAAAACAAAGAAAUUUAAGAUGUCGGCCACUUUUCUCAAUUCUAACAUGGAUAUGUCCUCUGUACCUAAGGGCACGGCCAGGUAUUGAUUUUGAAGCCGGUUGGCCAUAAAACAAAUGAAUUCGAAAUGGCGGCCACUUUUCUCAAUUCUAGCAUGGAUCUGUCCUUUGUACCUAAAGGCACGCCCAGAUAUUGAUUUUGAAGCCAAUUGGCCUCAAAACAAAUUAAUUCAAGAUGGCGGCUACUUUUCUUAAUUCUGAUAUUGGAUGUCUUCUGUAUGUAUGGAAACGGCCAGAUAUUAUUUUCAAAGCUAAUUGGCCUCAAAACAAAUGAAUUUAAAUUGACGGCUACUUUUCUAAAUUCUAACAUAGAUCUGUCCCUUGUACCUAAGAGCAAGGCCAGAUAUUAAUUUUUAAGCCAAUUGGCCUCAAAACAAAGAAAUUUAAGAUGGCGGUCACUUUGCUCAACUUUAACAUGGAUCUGUCCUUGGUACCUAAGGGCACGGCCAGAUAUGGAUUUUGAAGCCAGUUGGCCACAAAGAAAUUCAAAAUGGCGGCUACUUUUCUUAAUUCUGAUAUUGGAUCUGUCUUCUGUAUGUAAGGGCACGGCCAGAUAUUAACUUUAAAGCCAAUUGACCUCCAAACAAAGAAAUUCAAAAUGGCGGCCACUUUUCUCAAUCCUACUAAUAACAUUAUAAUUGCGAAGUUUGUCAGGAUGGAUGGAUGUAUGUAUGUUUGUUCCUCUUUCACGAAAAAACUACUGAACACAUAUGCUACAAUUUAUAAUGAUUUUGCGUAAUUUGGUCAUAAUAUAAGUAACGAUACCUAUCAACGUACGCUGCAUAAACCGUUGGAAUUAAACAAAGACGAUGUACCGUAGGAUUGUUUAGUUGACCUUGGAAAGCGCGAAUUUUAUCCCGGAAAACUCCUUCACGCUUCACGGCGAAAUCGCGAGCAAUAACUAGUGCUAACAAAUCAGUAUUUUAUAUCUUAGUCUUUUAUAUCUAAGCUAAUGGGCUUAUAAACAAAGAAAUUAAAAGUGGCGGCCACUUUUAUCAAUUCUGACACUUCAUCAAGAUUUUGCACCCAAUCGCAAGCCAACAAACCAAAUCUAAAAGGAGUAAUUAUAAUUAAGUUUUUGAACUAGCAGUGCCUUCACAAGUGAACAUCGUCGCGUUUGUGUGGCCUUAGAUUAUUUAUCUCAAACACCCCUUCAAACCUCUCAGUAAGACCCAAAUCCGAAAAUCUGAACGAACUAUAGUCAAAUUUUCAGAAUUCCAGAUGCUUGCAUUUGUAUCUAGUAGUAACAGAACAAAGGAUAAAGUAGGUAUGUACCUAAAAUAUGAAUGUUUCGCAAUAAAGCACUUAACAAAUGAAA
Long non-coding RNA from Manduca sexta (tobacco hornworm), 2908 nucleotides. RefSeq lists it as uncharacterized. The record is from RefSeq and is a predicted model, not a curated record. The transcript is spliced from 2 exons. Lineage: Eukaryota; Metazoa; Arthropoda; Insecta; Lepidoptera; Sphingidae.